CUGGCUCAGAGCGAACGCUGGCGGCAGGCUUAACACAUGCAAGUCGAGCGGGCCCUUCGGGGUCAGCGGCGGACGGGUGAGUAACGCGUGGGAACGUGCCCUCUGGUU
This 108-nucleotide ribosomal RNA is filed under the name Methylobacterium brachiatum. Its description in RNAcentral is "16S rRNA. Bacterial SSU". It matches the Rfam family "Bacterial small subunit ribosomal RNA", at positions 19 to 138 of the family's 1533-position model. Lineage: Bacteria; Pseudomonadati; Pseudomonadota; Alphaproteobacteria; Hyphomicrobiales; Methylobacteriaceae. The record is from RNAcentral.